This 465-nucleotide ribosomal RNA is filed under the name Vreelandella stevensii. RNAcentral describes it as "partial 16S ribosomal RNA". It matches the Rfam family "Bacterial small subunit ribosomal RNA", at positions 338 to 795 of the family's 1533-position model. Lineage: Bacteria; Pseudomonadati; Pseudomonadota; Gammaproteobacteria; Oceanospirillales; Halomonadaceae. The record is from RNAcentral.
CCUACGGGUGGCAGCAGUGGGGAAUAUUGGACAAUGGGGGCAACCCUGAUCCAGCCAUGCCGCGUGUGUGAAGAAGGCCCUCGGGUUGUAAAGCACUUUCAGUGAGGAAGAACGCCUGGUGGUUAAUACCCAUCAGGAAAGACAUCACUCACAGAAGAAGCACCGGCUAACUCCGUGCCAGCAGCCGCGGUAAUACGGAGGGUGCGAGCGUUAAUCGGAAUUACUGGGCGUAAAGCGCGCGUAGGUGGCUUGAUAAGCCGGUUGUGAAAGCCCCGGGCUCAACCUGGGAACGGCAUCCGGAACUGUCAAGCUAGAGUGCAGGAGAGGAAGGUAGAAUUCCCGGUGUAGCGGGGAAAUGCGUAGAGAUCGGGAGGAAUACCAGUGGCGAAGGCGGCCUUCUGGACUGACACUGACACUGAGGUGCGAAAGCGUGGGUAGCAAACAGGAUUAGAUACCCCAGUAGUC